RNAcentral lists this transfer RNA (65 nucleotides) under Phlugiolopsis tribranchis. RNAcentral describes it as "tRNA-Pro". Lineage: Eukaryota; Metazoa; Arthropoda; Insecta; Orthoptera; Tettigoniidae. The record is from RNAcentral.
CAAAGGGUAGUUUAUAUAAAAUAUUAAUUUUGGGGAUUAAUGAUGAGAAAAUUUCUUUCCUUUGA